Molecule: long non-coding RNA, 882 nt
Organism: Lutra lutra (Eurasian river otter)
Lineage: Eukaryota; Metazoa; Chordata; Mammalia; Carnivora; Mustelidae
Exons: 3
Source: RefSeq, a predicted model, not a curated record
GCGUGCUCUGUUCUGAGACAACUCUGUCCUCAGCUCUGCUGGAUCCUCUUGGGUCUGGGCAAAGAGAGCAGGCGCCAAGUAAACACCCGAAAUGGCGUUUCUGGAAAGCCUCUGUAACACACUGGCGCCCCGGCCCCCGUGUCUAAGAGUCCCCGAUGGACCGUAUCACGAAGUGGCAUGAACUCCGCUCUCAGGCAAACUUGGCCAGUAAUGUGAUCCCAGUUGACCCCACAGGCUGGCAAGGCCUGGGAAAUGUCAGCUUACACUUGUUCCCACCAUUUCCGAGGGGGUUCCCUUUGCACCCGGUGCGCUCUGCACAGCGCCCACUGGGAAUGGCGGGUCUGUGGCGGCUUCCCGGCUGUAGAGCCACAGGUGAAGGGGCACUUCGGCGUUGGAAGGGGCUGCAGAGGCUGGCUCUCUCGUGACCCCUGCAAAGGGCUCCCCCUGAGCAAGGCUGUCCCUCUGUCACCUUCUUAAACCCCCUCUGGACGGUUCUGUCCCACCUGAUAGGCUCGCUCAGCAUCGUAGAUGGAGGGAGCUUCGUCAUCGCCAGAAAGCAAGGGUGAAAGAGGAGAAGGCCCUGGCCAAGGCCCAGAACUCAAAUUCGCAGCAGCCCAGAACCUUCCCCACACGUCACAACUCCAGACACGUCGCAGAGAAUAGGGAGCUGGAAACAGAGGCCGGUGAUGGUACGAAUCUUCGCACAUGGCAGAGGAAGCAUCUCCAGAUCAGGCUUCAACUUCCCUUCUCGUGCUCCCAAAACUGGACUAGGCCUCCCUGGGGGCUCCCCCGGCACCCCACAUACUGCUCUGUUCUCCUCCUCCUGGGGCACGAGGGAUUUUGUCUCCCUCGAUGACUGAAGUUUGCUGACGGCUGGGGCCA